Molecule: ribosomal RNA, 238 nt
Filed under: uncultured bacterium
Lineage: Bacteria
Description: partial 16S ribosomal RNA
Rfam family: Bacterial small subunit ribosomal RNA
Source: RNAcentral
UGGCGAACGGGUGAGUAACGCGUGGGUAACCUGCCUCAUACAGGGGGAUAACAGUUGGAAACGGCUGCUAAUACCGCAUAAGCGCACAGUACCGCAUGGUACCGUGUGAAAAACUCCGGUGGUAUGAGAUGGACCCGCGUCUGAUUAGCUAGUUGGUGGGGUAACGGCCUACCAAGGCGACGAUCAGUAGCCGACCUGAGAGGGUGACCGGCCACAUUGGGACUGAGACACGGCCCAA